This is a non-coding RNA of Malus domestica (apple), 2537 nucleotides long. Lineage: Eukaryota; Viridiplantae; Streptophyta; Magnoliopsida; Rosales; Rosaceae. The record is from RefSeq and is a predicted model, not a curated record.
AUUUUGAAAUUGCUCACCUUAAAUACACAAUGCGUGCAUGUGAAGUUUAUCAUCGAAUAAUCAACCUCUUCAUUAGUAAAUUAACGUUUAAGUUUGUUUUUAAUUUAGUUCACAAAUGAAUCAACCAACUUUUUAUGCCCUUUUGAUAUGAAAUUACAAAGCAAUGUUAACUAUAUUUUGUGUAUAUUUUUUUUUUCAUUCUUUUGAGAUGUAUUAUUCAUUUAUAUCAUAGGUGAUGAAGAAUUAAACAAAUUUAAUACCGCUUUGGAUGAUAAGUUCAUGUUGAUGACAAGUACUAUUGAUGAUACUAACUGUUCCUCAUCUGCUCUAAUGUUGCAGGUAUAUACAUUAUGCAACUGUUAAUAUCCAUAACCAAUGCAGGUUUUUAAGCACUCACACAGGUUUGUAUUUCAGUGAAAAAAAUCUAGGAAAAACAAAGGGAGGUUGAACCCAUCUACAUAGUGAAUCGAAAGAAAAAUUAAACUCAAUAGCUAGAGAAUGAAAACUGGUCUGAUGAAAAAAAAGAAAUGAACACAUAUAAGUGGCUUGAAUGGAAGAUGCAAUUCCAACACCUAUCAAUCAGUUACAACCGUAUAAAAAGGCAGUAAAACUUCAAGUCCUGUGUACAAUGUGGAGAGCGAGAAUUCCAGAAACGACCGAUAAAUAUAUAGGCCUGCGCUGUAUACUGGUUGAUGAAAAGCAACGCAGGAGUCUGACUUCCUUCAGCAACGCGCGGGUCACAUUUUCUAGUUUCUUACGAAAUAACAAUGUUAAACAAUUAGAACAAUAAUUAAAGCAAACCCAUCUUUAAAGGGGCCCGUGAUUAUAAAAUACUUCUCAUUUACGCAUUAGCACUUGCAAAAAGGCUGAAAUACGGAUAUUAAAAUCCAAAUCGAAUCGGAUCUUGUCAAUUUUCGGGUCGACGAUGUGUGACAUGUGUCCCAUUACGCAAGCACCAGGCACCGGCAAUAGAAGCUUCAGGCUUCCAGCCCAGUGGAAGAAGAAACCGUUGCUUUUCCGCCGUUAAUUCAAAAGUGCCUCGCAGAGUCUUCCAAAACAUGGACAUGGAUAUCGACGAAACAGCCAAAGGUACGCCCUUUCUCCAAAACGCCGCGUUUUACCAUUCUCGGUCGUAUAAAUUAUAAGUUCUGUGAUUAAAACUAGUAGGUUCCAAAUCAUAAAUAAUAUUGAGAAAAAUAUAUCUUCGUUGUUGCGUUGGGGAAUCGAACACAGGUUCUAGUAUAAUGCCUUGCGAAUAACGACAAAACAUGUUUGAAAAUAUAUGACCGUUUGAAUUUCAAAGGAUGUUACGGUUGGAUUUUCUGCAAAUUCAAGGGAAGGGGUUUUCUUUCCGAUUGGGCCUUUUCAAUUAAGAACAUUAACCAACAAAACAUGCUUCUGGGUUAUAAUUUCAUCAAUCUUGCAACUGAUAUGAUCAAUUUGAAUGGUUAUUCCGCUGCGCUGUUUCAUAAAUUGGAUCUGUGCAAGGAAUGUUUGAUAAAUUGCAAAGUUUUAUUCUUUCCUGCUUAAAAGUCCUUCUCCAUAUUGAGUCGAGGGUUUAUGUUCGGUCUUAAAGGAUAAGACUUUGAAAUAACAAAAAAAAAAAAAAAAAACUAUAUGGAUUCAAUUGAAUUGAAACUCUUCUGCUAAAUUUUUUAUCUUGGGUGAUUUGAUCAUGUGUUAUCUGCAAUUAUUUUGAAAUCUGCAGAAUACUAAUGCACCUUUAUGUUUUCUGUUAAACCAUGAAUGAUGGUUAUCAUGCAUGAGACAUCUCCUGCCGUCGAUUUGGAGCUUGAGAAAGUCCUUGGUGAUAUGCCACAGAAAAGUUUUGAAUUCCACAGGAUGACUGAUGCACGAGAACCACUUGAUACUGCUCCUGGAAUAACAGUGAUGGAUUCACUUAAGAGGGUGUUGAGACUUCCAUCUGUUUGUUCAAAGCGCUUCUUGGCAUCCAAAGUAGACAGGUGUGUUACAGGUCUUGUAGCACAGCAGCAAACUGUUGGGCCGUUGCAAAUUCCUCUCUCUGUUGUUGCAGUAAUAGCGCAGACUUUUACUGACAUGACUGGAGGUGCAUGUGCCAUUGGGGAGUAGCCAAUCAAAGGUUUGUUGGAUCCAAAAGCAAUGGCGAGAUUGGCUGUUGGAGAAGCACUCACAAAUCUUGUUUGGGCAAAGGUCACUUCUCUAUCUGAUGUUAAAGACAGCGGGAAUUGGAUGUAUGCAACCAAGCUUGAUGGGGAAGAAGCAGCUAUGUAUGAUGCUGCUACAGCUCUUUCAGUGGCAAUGAUUGAACUUGGUAUUGCAAUUGAUUGUGGGAAGGACAGUCUUUCCAUGGCAGCCCAUGUUGCAGGCGAGGUUGUUAAGGCACCUGGCAAUCUUGUAAUGAGUGUUUAUUGCACUUGUCCAGACAUUGAGGAUGUUCCUUAUCUGAAAACAGAGAUGACGGAAUACUACCUGUGAGGAAAUUUGAAUCCAAAGCUAAAUAUUCGAGAUUUACAAGCUUUUUCCAGUAAAUAGAAUCAAUCGAACCAUUAAACAUA